AUGGCGGUGCUUCCGGUCCCGAUGCCCUCAGCGAAGAUGGCGGCAGUGGAGAAGCGGCGGCCAGCGGUAGCACCACCGGCUGGUUUCACGGACAGCGGCCGCCAGUCGGUAUCCCGGGCGGCGGGGGCGGCCGAGAGCGAGGAGGACUUCCUGCGGCAGGUCGGCGUGACGGAGAUGCUACGGGCGGCCCUGCUGAAGGUGCUGGAGGCGCGGCCCGAGGAACCGAUCGCCUUCCUGGCCCACUACUUCGAGAACAUGGGCUUGCGCUCGCCUGUAAAUGGCGGCGCCGGGGAGCCCCCGGGCCAGCUCCUGCUGCAGCAGCAGCGCCUGGGCCGCGCACUGUGGCACCUUCGCCUGGCCCACCACUCCCAGAGGGGCCAGAUGCCCCAGACAGACACCUUUUGGUUGAUUGAACAGACAUUUACUGAGCGCCUACUGUGUGCAGGGCAGUGUUCCAGGCACCAGGGCUGUAACCAAGACGAACUUCCCGCCCUGGGGGGCAGGUGCUCAUGCUCUGGUGGGAGAUGCGAAGCUCACAGGGAUGUGGGACAGGGAGUGACACAGCAUGACCAUGAGGAAGAAAACAGGAAGAAAGGAGUUAGGGGUCAGGGGAGGUGACGUUUGAGGGGAGACCUGGAGGAGACCAGGGAGGAGGUGAGGGAGAUCUGGGGAAAGGCAGUGUCACUGCCCUUGCAGAGGUCCUGAGGCCGGUCCGUGGUUGGAGCUGGGAAGCCAAGGCUGGAUGGGAGCUGUGGGGAGGAGAGGCCUGAGCUGGGUGGAGGCUGGGAGGAGGCUGGAAGGAGGGAGGCCAAGCUGGGUAGGGGCUGGGAGGAAGGAGCCCUGGGCUGGGGGGUGCUGGGAGGAGGGAGACCAGGCUGGGUGGGAGCUGGGAGGAGGAGGCCCAGGCUGGGUAGGUGGUGGGAGGAGGGAGGAGGCCCAGGC
RNAcentral lists this long non-coding RNA (942 nucleotides) under Rhinopithecus bieti (black snub-nosed monkey). RNAcentral describes it as "lncRNA (ENSRBIG00000046338.1)". The record is from RNAcentral. Lineage: Eukaryota; Metazoa; Chordata; Mammalia; Primates; Cercopithecidae.